This is a non-coding RNA of Paramisgurnus dabryanus, 4081 nucleotides long. The record is from RefSeq and is a predicted model, not a curated record. Lineage: Eukaryota; Metazoa; Chordata; Actinopteri; Cypriniformes; Cobitidae.
AGACGUAAUUAAGUGAGCCCCAGCGUAAACGUACUCCACGGAUUCAACCUGCUGUGAACAGUGAUCGAUUGUCAUCUGAUUUUUGACCUACAUACACCCCAAAGGCUCUUUUCAGAGCCAUUUUACCAAGCAUCUUUGCAUCUUUGUACAUAGUGCCGGUUUUCCUUCAGUAGUGCCAGUUUUCCUGAGGUGCGGUUUCCCGAACAGGGAUUAGACAGAGCUGUCCAAACUGAAAACAACUUGCAGUGACAUCUUAAAACACAUCAGUGCUCUUUGGUUUGGCUCAAAAUGCACACAAGUAGGGGUGGUUUCCCGAACGGGUAUUAUUUUAUGCCGGGAUUAGGCCUUAGUAUAAUUAGGAAUUAUAACUAGUUUUCAACAAACAUGCCUUACUAAAACAUUACUGGUGUCCAUUUUGAGUCUAAACAAAGGACACUAAUGUAUUUUAUAGGGGUGUAACGAUUAACCGUGCAAAUGCGCGUUUUCUCAAUGAAUGAAUUUGAAUGAAUUACGGUGAAAUCCGGCACAUCCGAACGCCAGGGGGCGAUCUCAUGCAGAAACUCCCUGUGUGCCACACAAGAAGUAUCAUUGCAAACACUAUUCCAGGAAAUGUCUACACAGGAAUAUUUAUACGCUGUUCUUCAAAUUGUUUCAGGUAUUUUCAUGAUAAUAAAGAAUAUUUCGAAUGAUUUUGCUUAACGAGUGUUGCUUUUUUAAAUACACGCUAUAAACGACUCUGACUCAUAAUAAUUUUAGAUUGAUAAGGACUUCCUACUGACCAAAUGCCGUAGUACACACACAAGCUGUGCAUAAAACAAAGAAUCGCAGCCUUGCGAUUCAGAAUCGAUUUCAGACAGGCAUUUUUAAUGGGGACCGCGAUUGAAUCGUUACAUCCCUGGUAUUUUAAGAUAUAUCAGUGCACAUUUAUUUUAGUCUAGGACUAAUCUAAUCCCUGUCCGGGAAACCGCCCCGUAAUGUUUUUAGUAAGGAAUGUUUGUUGAAACUAGUUAUAUUUCCUAAUUAAACUAAGGCCUAGUCUUAGCUUAAGAUAAUCCCUGUCUGGGAAACCACUCCAUAAUGUCCCAUGUUUAAGACUGCAUAUCUAUACACACGCAUGUAAUAACUUUCACCUAUUUGCUUGUCUUAAUUAUUGGCAUCCUAAGAUAUUUUAUAACUGCCUGGCACAUUCUUGGAGAUUGACUUUAAUAAUAACAUAAUUCUCAACAUUUGGUAAUGACUGUACUGUAAUUGUGUGUCAACAAUUGCAAAUAACAUAUUAAUGUUCUUUCUUUCAUUUAUUAGAUUUUACCUCGUCCUCCACUGCCUCCAGUAAUUCCUGGUUUUAAGGAAGGCUCCGAUGUUUUGAAGGUCGAUAAAGGUGUAAAAGACGAUUGACUUGGCUUAGCGAAAUGAUGAAGAUUGGCAAGCCUUUCAGUUCGUGGGCUAAGAAAACCAAACAGGUAACAGUUGCGUGUCUUUGCACAGUAUGACUAACGUAAGGGGUCCUGUAUUUUGGGGGUAAAUGAUUUCUCACGUUACUGAUCAUCCGCGGCACGCUUUUUAAUGCUAUGCUGAUAUAGCCAGUGGCUGGUACAACGGGUUUGUUUAACUCGUGGGUAAACUUCAUGUGGCGCCACAACAACCAAAAGGCAGAUGACAUCCAAAUCCCUUGAGAGCGAUUGACGAGGAAUCAUAAGAGGAGACUGCUUCCGAAACGCUCUCGCGGGACUUUGAUGUCAUCCACCUGUCGGUUCUUGCAGUUGCAUUUGCGUGUGGUCACAAAAACGUAACAUUUGUACAUAUAUUUAAGCACAGCCGUUUAAAAACAAGUGAUUUUAAGCCAUUCAAACUCAAACAAAAGUGCUUCCGCUGUUUCUGUGUCAGAGGAGCACGCUAGCCGCGCAUUCGUUUCUCAUUCUCAUUGAGCUUGUGUUGUAUGUAUUUUUGCCGCUUUAUUGGCCUUAAAUAACACAUAUGCCUCAAAAAUCCCGUCUUUGCAAAUAUCCUCAUAUAAACACGACCAUUUAGGUUUUAGGAGAAAGUAAACAGCAGAAACAUUGCGCAUAAACUAGCACAUCAGCGCUGCCUCUAUUGUAACAUAAUAAUUUGUUGAUAAAGGUACAGUGGUAGAAAAGAGACCGCACUCAGGGACUUAAUCAGAUCCAAAAACUGUAUUAAAAUUGAUAAAGGUACAGUCAUUCAAUUAACAACUGUCACUAUAGUUACAGACAUCCUGUGCGAAUUCUACACUAGUUUUAUUCGAGUUACUCGUUCAGGGUUUAUAUUCAUACAUAACGUUACUGUAUUAGAGCUGUGACUGUAAACUGUUGUGUGAACAGAACAGACCCUGGAUUAUUCGUUUAUGUGCACUGAAUAAUAUGAUAUGAAAAAGUUGUAUUUGUUCACAUUAGUAAAUGCAUUAUAUAACAUAAACAAACAAUGAAAAAUAUAGAGUAUAUAAGCAUUAAUUAAUUCUUGUUUAUGUCAUUACAGUAAUUGACGGUGGUUCAUUCACUAAUGUUAACAGUUUCAACUUUGAUUAAAAAAUUAUUAGUAAAUGCUAAAAUAAAUACAUUUACAAUUAAUAAAUAAUUAAUAAAAUAUUCAUUAAAGGUGGUGAAAUUCAUGUUUUCUUUUUAUGCAGUAUAGUGAGUUAUUUAGCUGUUUCGCCUUAAUCUGAAAUGCCCUGCAAACUACAGCUACCUAUAUAUGCCACAGGAGACUUCAAUAUGGAAUUUAUGGCAAAAAAAUCUCCCCUUAAAAUGCUAUUGGUUUGCCUACAUAAAGUGUUAGGUAAAGGAAUAUGACUUGGCCUGUAAAAUAAUUCAGUCAGAAGAAUUUUUUUCAAUUUUUAUUUUUUUUUGUAUGUUAUAUAUGUCAAAAUCUUUGUAAAUAAUAGAAAGGUCGCUGAUUAACACUUGCAAUUCAGUGUCGUGAUGGUUUUAAAAAAUAUUCUGAAGGUAGUAAAAAAGGUAGUAAAAAGUAGUAAAUUUAACUUAAGGAUUUCUGUAUAAACCCUGAACCCUGACUUCCUAAAUAUUCUAAAUUUGAAUACAAAAAUCUGGGCUUGAUUUGGUUUUUCUGAAGGUGUUCAAAAGAUUUACUGUUUUUGAUCCUCUGGGUCUAAACGACCCUACAAUGUGAAUAAGACAAGUUACAAUUUCUUAAUAGUUUAAUUUGUCGAAAAAAUAAAUGCAUCCAAUAUUAAUGUGAAAAUAAUGUACAUGUACAAAUCCCCGGUUCUAGAGAACAAACGUACAUACUUUCUUAAGCACACACAAACACACAAGUGUGAUUGUAACGUAGAGUUUUUUUUUUUACAGAUGUUAUAUAUACAUCAGGGUUACCCUGAUAUACAUAGUCAUCAUUUAGUUAUUAUUGAAGAGCCACACAGAUCCAAAAUCGAAACUGACCUGUAUUGCAGUGUGUCAUGUAGCUGUCCAUCAAUGUAAACAAUGUGCAAAGUAGUUGAACCAAAAAGUGCACAAUUAAUAAAGUUAUUGGCUUCUAAAGUAGGGAGUCGACUCUGACUCACUGAAACGAGUCGUUAUAUGGACUGAUUCUCCUGCCUGAUAUUUUCCACGUCACACGAACACUUCCACGUCACACGAGAUACUAAUCUCCGCCUACAGCCUUGCCUGCGGGAGAAACGAAAACUAUGACCUGCCCACAGCUAGUUAGUGUGUAAACAUCAUGCUGUGUUUUCAGUUUGUGCUGUUUUCACUACCAAAGGAGACAUUUUCAAGGAGGGUAUACUAAAUAUUUGGCUGUGAAGAAUCUGUGGUUAAAAUUAGGGGUCGACCGAUUAUCAAUCUGGCCGAUUAUAGAGGUCGAUAUUAAGCAUUUUGCCGGCUAUCGACAUCGGACAUUUUAAAAGCCUAUUUGCCGAUAAUGUAAUUUGAUUUUGAAAUGCACUAUUUCGGCUCUGACGCAGCCAUGGAUUUAGUGAGAGCUGUCGGAACACGGAACAGGGCACUCUAUACGCACAACCGGCGCAGCGUCAUAGAAUGUCUCUGAACAGGUUCACCCCACUUUUGGGGGAAAUCAGACUAGACCUUCCAUUGGCUUCCAUUCUAAAUAG